RNAcentral lists this long non-coding RNA (2087 nucleotides) under Panax ginseng (ginseng). Its description in RNAcentral is "long non-coding RNA (PGIN_LNC016717)". The record is from RNAcentral. Lineage: Eukaryota; Viridiplantae; Streptophyta; Magnoliopsida; Apiales; Araliaceae.
GAUAAAAUACACAUAUAUAAGGAUCAUAUAGGAUACUUGGUACAAUGUAGAGUGCGUUUUAAGAAAGAACAUGAAUUUUAAUUUCAUACGCAAUCAGUAAAUAACACAUCAACUCUGUUGCUGGUCUUGUUCAUUCAAAAGACUUGAAAAGUUACUUCUACAUUAUUCAUCCAUCCGGGAAAAGAAAGAAAAUUACAUUUUAUUGUUCAAAACUUCUAAACGAAACUGACAAGUGAAGACAACAUAGCUGCAAUGUUCACUGUUCUUCAUCGAUAGCCAGCGGCAUCGUCUUCACCUAAAAUAUAGCCACAAAAGGAGAAUAUUAAUACACAUUCAUAUAAUCAUGAAAAACUAAUCAUUGAUUUAAUUUUACAAACUAUCUGUCCUUUCAGUUUUAAUUACAUACCAUUCUUGGGCAAAAAUAAUAGUGUCUACCCGGAUUCUUUUCCGACAUUGAAAGUUUUACUAUACAAGGGCCCGUACCACAACAACAUGAACAGAAGGUCGAUGAGGUCGAUGUUUGUGAUUCCUCAAUCCAAGGAUCAAAAGCACAAGGUACUGAAGAAGGUGCAUUGCCAGAACCAGGAAAUGAAGUUUUGAACUCUCAAGAUAAUGAAUAUGAGGCAAUGGAUACAGUUACUGAAGUUGUUGAGAUAGAUGUUCAAGAUGUCAAAGAGGAUAGGUCAUGUCAUCAAGAUAAGCAGGAGUAUGGAUGUGUUUUGUGGGAUCUUGCAGCAAGCAAAACUCAUGUUGAACUUAUGGUACUUUUGUUGAUUUCACAUUAUAUAGCUUUACGUUAAUCUUCAUGUUCAUUUGUUUUAAGUACCAAUAGACAUAUACAUUUAAAGAAGUUUCAUGGGAACUUUUUAUUCUAUAUUGAAACAGAAGCAUUUAAUGAAUGAGUUAAAUAACAAGGGAAAAGGCGGAAAGAUUUGAGGAACCUUACUGCAACCUCUAUCUAAUUCCUAACAUUGAUCUCAAAUACAACUCCUCAGUUCUUAAUAUUUUAGCCUAAUUAAAAUCCCUGAUUUUUUCAAACAAAAGAGACAAUCCUAUUGUGAGUCCUAAGACUCCUAACAGAUUAGCUUGCAAUAGUAGUUAAGAUGGGCUUGCAAUCGACUUCCUUAACUCAUGAACUGUAGCUUUCAUUAAGAGCUUAAACACAUACUCCAUCCAUCCAACUUUACUUGAUUCCUAAUAUCUCGGCCUUCAUGAAAAUCCCUAAUUUUUUCAAACAAAAGAGACAUGGUUGCGAGUCCUAGCAGAUUAUCUUGAUAUAGCAGUUGAGAAGGCUUUGCAAAUCUACUUACUAAAUCAUGAAUUGUAACUUCUUAGGUCCCACUUUACUUGUCUCCUUUAUUUGGGUAAGUUUGUGUUCCACAACUUUUAAACGUGUUGAAACAUAUAUAUGUUCUGUUUACCCUUUGUUUAAUUUAUUAGUAGUCUGCCAUAUUUAUGAUGUUGCUAUAGCAGAAAAUAAGAGUUGCUAUUCUUUUUCAUAUUUUAUGUGCCCUGUUAAUAACUACUAGUUCCCCCUCUCCCCGGCCACAUAUUUACACGUCUGUUCUGUUUGUAACAAAUUGUAACUGCUAUAUAUAUAAACAACACACAAAUCUUUUGCUUUUUCAAAUAUAAAUAUCUUCUAAAAUCUCUCUUCAGAAGUUAACAUGAUCCUAGAUUUUUUCUUAUCUAAGAUAAAAUCACAAUCUUCAGCUAAGCAUUUCAACAAACAAAUUAUGAACAUGAUUAGAUUAUAAAUCAAUAACAACUACAAAAAGCAUAUGCUCAGAAAUUUGUGGAAAACGCAUAUGGAGCCACAACUGACCUUACGAUUUGCAAACCCUAGCUUCAAUCCAACUGCCCAGCCACAAAAUAACUAUACAAACCCUAGAUUUCUUUCAAAUCAACAAGUUUGCAACAGGGUCGUUCGAUCUCACUGACCUUCCGAAUCGUAAGAGUGAGAGAGAGCCUAGCGGGGAGAGAGAAUCGGGGAAGAAGAGUGAGAGAGAGCCUAGCUUCCGAAUCGGUAGAGUGAGAGAGAGCCUAGUGUUAUUCAUAUCACUGCCCAGCCACAAAAUGGGUUUUUG